GAGUAAGAAAAAAGGAAGGAAGGAAGAGAAAGAAAGAAAGAAAGAAAGAAAGAAAGAAAGAAAGAAAGAAAGAAAGAAAGAAAGAAAGAAAGAAAGAAAGAAAGAAAGAAAGAAAGAAAGAAAGAAAGAAAGAAAGAAAGAAAGAAAGAAAGAAAGAAAGAAAGAAAGAAAGAAAGAAAGGAAGGAAGGAAGGAAGGAAGGAAGGAAGACAGAAAGGUAGAUAGAUAGAUAGAUGGAUAGAUAGAUGGAUAGAUAGUCAGCAGUUGCCAGAUAGUUUGAAUAGACUACAAAGUACAAAGGGGAGAGU
RNAcentral lists this long non-coding RNA (307 nucleotides) under Monodelphis domestica (gray short-tailed opossum). RNAcentral describes it as "lncRNA (ENSMODG00000041212.1)". Lineage: Eukaryota; Metazoa; Chordata; Mammalia; Didelphimorphia; Didelphidae. The record is from RNAcentral.